RNAcentral lists this ribosomal RNA (443 nucleotides) under uncultured bacterium. RNAcentral describes it as "partial 16S ribosomal RNA". It matches the Rfam family "Bacterial small subunit ribosomal RNA", at positions 338 to 795 of the family's 1533-position model. The record is from RNAcentral.
CCUACGGGUGGCAGCAGUGGGGAAUAUUGGACAAUGGGGGGAACCCUGAUCCAGCGACGCCGCGUGAGUGCAGAAGUAUUUCGGUAUGUACAGCUCUAUCAGCCGGGAAGAAAGAAAUGACGGUACCUGACUAAGAAGCCCCGGCUAACUACUUGCCAGCAGCCGCGGUAAUACGUAGGGGGCAAGCGUUAUCCGGAUUUACUGGGGGUAAAGGGAGCGUAGACGGUUACGCAAGUCUGUAGUGAAAGGUGGGGGCCCAACCCCCGGACUGCUUUGGAAACUGGAUAACUUGAGUGCAGGAGAGGUAAGUGGAAGUCCUAGUGUAGCGGUGAAAUGCGUAGAUAUUAGGAGGAACACCAGUGGCGAAGGCGGCUUACUGGACUGUAACUGACGUUGAGGCUCGAAAGCGUGGGGAGCAAACAGGAUUAGAUACCCUUGUAGUC